AGCAGCCGCGGUAAUUCCAGCUCCAAUAGCGUAUAUUAAAGUUGUUGCAGUUAAAAAGCUCGUAGUUGAAUUUCGGGAUUGGCGCAUCGGUCGUGCCUCACGGGGUAUGAACUGGUGCAGUCAAUUUCUCACCUCCUGGAGAACCGCGAUGUCCUUAAUUGGAUGCCGCGGGGAACCAGGACCUUUACUUUGAAAAAAUUAGAGUGUUUAAAGCAGGCAUUUUUGCUUGAAUACAUUAGCAUGGAAUAAUAAAAUAGGACGGCAUGGUUCUAUUUUGUUGGUUUCUAGGACCACCGUAAUGAUUAAUAGGGAUAGUUGGGGGCAUUAGUAUUCAAUUGUCAGAGGUGAAAUUCUUGGAUUUAUUGAAGACUAACUACUGCGAAAGCAUUUGCCAAGGAUGUUUUCAUUAAUCAAGAACGAAAGUUAGGGGAUCGAAGACGAUCAGAUACCGUCGUAGUCUUAACCAUAAACUAUGCCGACUAGGAAUCAGACGAUGUUAAUUUUUUAAUGACUCGUUUGG
This 520-nucleotide ribosomal RNA is filed under the name uncultured Entrophospora. Its description in RNAcentral is "SSU rRNA". It matches the Rfam family "Eukaryotic small subunit ribosomal RNA", at positions 569 to 1083 of the family's 1831-position model. The record is from RNAcentral. Lineage: Eukaryota; Fungi; Glomeromycota; Glomeromycetes; Entrophosporales; Entrophosporaceae.